AUACGGAGGAUGCGAGCGUUAUCCGGAUUUAUUGGGUUUAAAGGGAGCGUAGGUGGGAUAUUAAGUCAGCUGUGAAAGUUUGGGGCUCAACCUUAAAAUUGCAGUUGAUACUGGUUUCCUUGAGUACGGUACAGGUGGGCGGACUUCGUGGUGUAGCGGUGAAAUGCUUAGAUAUCACGAAGAACUCCGAUCGCGAAGGCAGCUCACCGGGCCGGAACUGACACUGAUGCUCGAAAGUGCGGGUAUCAAACAGGAUUAGAUACCCUGGUAGUCCGCACAGUAAACGAUGAAUACUCGCUGUUUGCGAUACACGGUAAGCGGCCAAGCGAAAGCGUUAAGUAUUCCACCUGGGGAGUACGCCGGCAACGGUGAAACUCAAAGGAAUUGACGGGG
This 393-nucleotide ribosomal RNA is filed under the name uncultured bacterium. Its description in RNAcentral is "partial 16S ribosomal RNA". It matches the Rfam family "Bacterial small subunit ribosomal RNA", at positions 523 to 918 of the family's 1533-position model. The record is from RNAcentral.